Molecule: ribosomal RNA, 387 nt
Filed under: uncultured bacterium
Lineage: Bacteria
Description: bacterial SSU rRNA
Rfam family: Bacterial small subunit ribosomal RNA
Source: RNAcentral
GAUGAACGCUAGCGGCAGGCUUAACACAUGCAAGUCGAGGGGCAGCAUGAGACGGAGAUUCGUCGAAGUCUUGAUGGCGACCGGCGCAAGGGUGCGUAACGCGUGAGCAACUUGCCCGUUUCUGGGGAAUAACCGGUGGAAACGCCGACUAAUACCCCAUAGUAUUGAGUUUAGGCAUCUUUACUCAAUUAAAGAAUUUCGGAAACGGAUAGGCUCGCGUGACAUUAGCUGGAUGGCGGGGUAACGGCCCACCAUGGCAACGAUGUCUAGGGGUUCUGAGAGGAAGGUCCCCCACACUGGAACUGAGACACGGUCCAGACUCCUACGGGGAGCAGCAGUGAGGAAUAUUGGUCAAUGGGCCGGGAGGCUGAACCAGCCAUGCCGCGU